GACCAUGCAGAGGACUCAUCGCGACGACACCAACGGUUUGGUUAAGUGGGUUCUCUUGUGUGUGCGUCUGUGUGUGAAUGGCAGGCCUGUCGUAUGAUUGUGUGUGUGUGUGCGUUGGCGUUAUGCCUUCGCACUAUUAUUUUGUUAGGAUGUAUUUUUGUGUGUGAACUUUUUGCACGUAAUCUUUUUUUACACCCAUAGCUAGCGUUUGUUUGUGUGGCAGUGUUCCGGGAGAUGGACGCCGGGGGACAUGGGCUUGGGGAGGCGCACAUGACCUCCUCUGUCCGUGACCUCUUCAGCUGGGGAGACCGUGUGUUGCCCCGCCUGGAGAGACACGUUGAUGGAGGUGGCCGUGUGUGUCACCCUUUGCCUGUAUCCUCUGGCGCCCAGAGGCGCGUAAGUGGAGAGCAUCGGCGCAGCGCGGGAGCAGCACGUCAGGGUGUAGGGUGUUUGUUUAGCUGGUGUAGGGUGUUAGGGUGUUAGGUGUAACAACGGUUGGCUCUUUCACAGAACGGGUGUGAUUCCGUUCUGCGUUUGAGUCUUCCACCUUCAGACGGUCUCCCUCCGAGAUGUCUGAAGUUUUUUUGUCGGUUUUCUCCGUAGGAGGAAGCCGACUCUAGCUACUCUGGCCUCUCUUCCGGGGGUCAGGGCGGUCGGGCUCUGCUUGGCCAGGCGUUGCCUUUCGCGUUGUCUCCGCCGACGUUUUGCCAGACUCUUCCGUAAGGUUGAGCCUGGCUUUUUUAUUAGGUGGAUCAGGCUGCCUUCUUCCAAGGAGUCUGAUGGGAGUGGAGUCUUUUUUUUGGUGUAUGUCUGUGGGUGCUU
Long non-coding RNA from Eriocheir sinensis (Chinese mitten crab), 822 nucleotides. RefSeq lists it as uncharacterized. The record is from RefSeq and is a predicted model, not a curated record. The transcript has 3 exons. NCBI's taxonomy places the organism in Eukaryota, Metazoa, Arthropoda, Malacostraca, Decapoda, Varunidae.